Molecule: microRNA precursor, 81 nt
Filed under: Stegodyphus mimosarum
Lineage: Eukaryota; Metazoa; Arthropoda; Arachnida; Araneae; Eresidae
Description: microRNA mir-iab-4
Source: RNAcentral
GAGCAUCCUGUUCGUAUACUGAAUGUAUCCUGAUUUUGUUUCCCUUUCCGGUAUACCUUCAGUAUACGUAACAGGCCACUC